CAGCCAGCCUGCUCACCAAGAGUCUAACCCCGUCCUCCUGAGUGCUCAUUCACUCACACAGCAGAUUGAUUACACUUAUGUGUUGCUUGCAACUAAAUGAGCGCACCUGGAGCUGGAAGCACGUUUUGCACGGAUGCACAAUGAGGUGUCAUGUGCAGAUGUGGCAUGCCAGAACUAAAUAUAAAUAAUGCACUGUGACUUUCAGUAUGCUUGUAGAUUUGUCCGCCAAUCCCCCUUUAUUUAUCCAGGAGAGUCUCCUGAGAUUGAGAAACUCUAUAAAAAAUGUAAACAAGGAGAUGAUUUCUACUUUUUUUAUUGUUGUUAGCAACAGUGCAUACUGAUGAACAUCAGCAGUGUAAAUAUGACAUUCUAGUUCAGUUGAUGUGUUGUCCCCAGGUGCAUGGAAACAGACAAAUAAGAAUAGGAAUACAAGGGAAGCAAUAAACAAAACUUAAAAAUACAUUAAAAGUAAUCACAGACCUCAUUCCGUUUCAUCCGCUGUUUAGUAGGCGGUUCCAGUUUUUUAUUAGUUAAAAAAGAAUGCUAUAUUGAGCUUCAGCAGUGCAGUACAACAAAGUGCAUAGAUAAACAACAACUGGGCUCAGAUGUUUUUUCAUUUUGUUUUUAUAGUGGAAGCUAUCAUCCACACCAAACAAAUUAAAAAACACAAAAAAAACUAGCAAUAAAUAAAUAAAUAUUAUAUAUAAGAAAGAUAAAUACGUAGAUACAUUAAUAAAGCAUGGUGUGACAGGGGUUAGUGCAUGUGCCUCACAAUACAAAGGUCCUGGGUUCAGUCCCGGGCUCAGGGUCUUUCUGUGUGGAGUUUGCAUAUUCUCCCCGUGACUGCGUGGAUUCCCUCCGGGAACUCCGGCUUCCUCCCACUUCCAAAGACAUGCACCUGGGGAUAGGUUGAUUGGCAACACUAAAUUGUCCCUAGUGUGUCUAUCUGUGUCAGCUCUGCGAUGAGGUGGUGACUUGUCCAGGGUGUACACCGUCCUCCACCCUUGUUUAGCUGAGAUAUAUCCCCCGCGACCCCGAAAGGGAAAAGCAGUAGAAAAUGGAUAGAUGGAUACAUUUGAUCAAACUUAUUCAAAGAACGUUGAAGAAAAAAUCUUACAAUUUUUAAAUUUCCAGAUUUGAAUUGCACAACACAAUUCCCUAAUGCAUCGAUCGUAAAAUGGAGGCCCAGCAAAGAUGCAUUUAACUAUGAAAAAUGGUGUAUUAGAAGUGUGUUGUCCAAAAUCUUGAUGCUUGAAUUUAGACCGUUUUUUAAUGUGUUUUUUUUAAUAAGUUCGACUUGUAAAAUGUCGUUUUGUGUGUCUGUAGCUUUAAUGCUGAUAAGCUGCAUUUGUGUGUGUCUCUAUGUAACCCAAUUGUGUAUCCACUUUUUACAUACACACUAACUUUUAGCUUUAGUACUAACAUUUUAGCAUCUUUAUGUUUGGUUAGCUUAUUCACUGAAGGGUCAGAUACCAAAUUUUAACCGACUGGUGGUUAGUUGGCAAACAAGCUUUUUUGAAGUGUAGCAGAUGCUGUUUUUCUUUUUUUUUUAUUUUUUUUUUACAAAACUGUGUUCCGUGAAGUGCAGGGCAUGUACAUAUUUAGUAGCAGGUGGCAUUAUGUACAGGAGGAAGGAGUUUGUUUUUUUACAAACCCCGUUUCCAUAUGUGUUGGGAAAUUGUGUUAGAUGUAAAUAUAACAGAAUACAAUGAUUUGCAAAUCCUUUUCAACCCAUAUUCAGUUGAAUGCACUACAAAGACAAGAUAUUUGAUGUUCAAACUCAAAAAACUUUAUUUUAUUUUUGCAAAUAAUAAUUAACUUAGAAUUUCAUGGCUGUAACACAUGCCAAAGUAGUUGGGAAAGGGCAUGUUCACCACUGUGUUACAUCACCUUUUCUUUUAACAACACUCAAUAAACGUUUGGGAACUGAGGAAACUAAUUGUUGAAGCUUCGAAAGUGGAAUUAUUUCCCAUUCUUGUUUUAUGUAGAACUUUAGUCGUUCAACAGUCCGGGGUCUCCGCUGUCGUAUUUUACGCUUCAUAAUGCACCACACAUUUUCGAUGGGAGACAGGUCUGGUCUGCAGGCGGGCCAGGGAAGUACCCGCACUCUUUUUUUUACGAAGCCACGCUGUUGUAACAUGUGCAGAUUGUGGCUUGGCAUUGUUUUGCUGAAAUAAGCAGGGGCGUCCAUGAAAAAGACGGCGCUUAGAUGGCAGCCUAUGUUGUUCCAAAACCUGUAUGUACCUUUCAGCAUUAAUGGUGCCUUCACAGAUGUGUAAGUUACCCAUGCCUUGGGCACUAAUGCACCCCCAUACCAUCACAGAUGCUGGCUUUUGAACACACUGAGAACACGAAGGGGGGCAGAACACAGGGAGAGCAGGAUCGCAAAAAGCAGGAUGAGAGCUUACUGAACUCACAGGUGUGGACUGCGGCCGGAGAGUGGGCGCGGUCCGCUUCAUGAACGCGGGGGCGUGUCCAGGGGUGCGCUGUCAGCGGGCCGUCUGGGUGGAACCGCAGUGGAGGAAGAUGCAGACCGCAUGUGCCACAACACACCCGUUCCCAAUUAGCCUGCACACCUGUGGGAUGUUCCAAAUAAGUGUUUGAUGAGCAUUCCUCAACUUUAUCAGUAUUCAUUGCCACCUUUCCCAACUUCUUUGUCAUGUGUUUCUGGCAUCAAAUUUUAAAGGUAAUGAUUUCCCAACUCAUGGAAACGGGGUUUGUAUCUCUGACAAUAAUGACAUCAAGUAAAAAAGUCAGCGUUUGAGUGCAUCUUCUUUCAAAAGAAAUGAGAGGAAGAGAAAUUCUCAUAAACAGACUCACUUUAACGUUUUAAUAUUAAAUAGGAACUGCAUUA
Nerophis ophidion (straightnose pipefish) is the source of this 2854-nucleotide long non-coding RNA. RefSeq lists it as uncharacterized. NCBI's taxonomy places the organism in Eukaryota, Metazoa, Chordata, Actinopteri, Syngnathiformes, Syngnathidae. The transcript has 2 exons. The record is from RefSeq and is a predicted model, not a curated record.